AUGUCCUUUCAAUUCUCGUUCAUAGUUCAGCUGAUCGUCGUCCUUGAGACGCGACAAGGACGUCAAGCAUCCUUCAGCAAAUCGUUGCCAAGUCGUCGUGCCAAAUGCCGUUUAAACCGGAUUUGCCCGCAUUGCUUCAUCACGUUCUUUCUUAAAGCAGUACGACAUCUUGGGUGCAACGGAAACGAGAAACCAGUUUCUCGUAGCACCAGCAGUCUUUCCUGUCCAAAAUGCAAACUAGGUUUCACUGCCCGCAGACAAAUCAGUUCAAUGAAUUCCUUUAACACGUCUUGGUAGGGUGAUUCAUUUGGCAGAAAGAGCAUCAUCUUACCCUCGAGAUAAAUCCACACAAGGUGCCUUAGGAAGCGCAGGAGGAGGUCUCGUAUAAGGAAAUCGUUCUGGCUCUCCCGCCAAACAUAAUGAAUAUCGCCUUGCUUUCGGUCAGGCGGUGGCUGGGACUUAAUUGACAGGGGUGCCUGAGCGUCUCCGCAGAGAGGCCAGGGUCACUACAGACAGAAGCUGAAAGUCGUUCACUGCUCUCCUAGUGAGGAGGAGGGCCCGCGCAGGGUGCAGGGACCCAGGGAAGCCGCAGGUUUUUAAAGCGCUGUGGAAGUUUGAGGGGGGCGUGUCGAAGCCUGAGCUGACAUCUGGUGGUUUGGGGAAAAAAGUUCUGCAGGAAGGGGCAGAGGUGUGGGCCAAGCCAGCUGCUGCAUAUCCCUUUUUGAAUAAGCCGAGCGUGUUGGAGCUCUGGAGGUGGUCUCUGAGAAGCCGGGGACCGGGACCGUGGGCACAUGGGCUACGUGUGUGUGAGAAUCAAAUCUGGACGCACUCGUGUCUCGAGAGGGCUGAAAAGCUUGCUAGGGGUAGUGUCAUUGCACCCGAAUCCUUGGGCACGUUGUGGCCAUCAGAAGCCGUGCAGGGACUCCAGAUGGCGGGAGACACCGUUCCCGAAGCUCCUUGAGUGCAGGCGUCUCUGAGGGCGCUGACGGGACUGUCUGUUGACUCUGAUGUGGAAGGGAGAUGUGUACGUGAGCACUGUGUUGCUUCAGAACCCCAGGAAAGGACCAGAAGGCGUGAGACGUCUGUGUCCUUCGCACAUGAAACGUGCUUCCACUGCAUCUCCUUGAAGGCGGAUGUCAUCCUGAAACCUCACGCUGCUGUCGGAAGAAGUGUGGUGGGUGCGGCUGCUCCGCUCUCAAACAAGCAGACCGGCCAGGUUGGCGGAAAGAAGGAAAG
RNAcentral lists this long non-coding RNA (1236 nucleotides) under Bos indicus x Bos taurus (hybrid cattle). RNAcentral's name for it is "lncRNA (ENSBIXG00005025080.1)". Lineage: Eukaryota; Metazoa; Chordata; Mammalia; Artiodactyla; Bovidae. The record is from RNAcentral.